UCAAGCUAUAAAGAGCGUAGGGAGAAUGACUUGGCAUCAGGAGCCGAAGAAGGACGUGACAAGCUGCGAAAAGCUGCGGUUAGGAGCAAAUAUCCAUAGACCCGCAGAUAUCCGAAUGGGGAAACCCGGUACGGCAAUACCGUAUCACUGCAUGGUAAAUACAUAGCCAUGUGGAGGAAACCCUCUGAACUGAAACAUCUAAGUAGGAGGAGGAAGAGAAAGAAACAUCGAUUUCCUAAGUAGCGGCGAGCGAAAGGGAAAGAGGCCAAACCAGAGAUAGCAAUAUCUUUGGGGUUGCGGACUGCGUAAUUGAUUCAAUAUUUUUAGCAGAAGUGUAUGGGAAGACACACCAUAGUAGGUAAUAGUCCUGUAAGCGAAAAGGAUAUUGACAAGGCAGGAUCCAGAGUACCACCGGACACGAGGAACCCGGUGGGAAGCCGGGGGGACCACCCCCCAAGCCUAAAUACUACCUGAUGACCGAUAGUGAAAAGUACAGUGAUGGAAAGUUGAAAAGAACCCCGGAAGGGGAGUGAAAAAGAAUCUGAAACCCUAUGUUUACAAGCUGCUAAAGCACCAUAUGAGUGCGAUAGCGUACUUUUUGUAGAACGGUCCGGCGAGUGUAUGUUGCAAGCGAGGUUAAGGUGUUAAGCACUGAAGCCGAAGGGAGACCGAGUGUGAAUAGCGCGUACAGUUUGCAGUAUACGACCCGAAACCGGGUGACCUAACCAUGGACAGGUUGAAGUGGAAGUAAAAUUCCAUGGAGGACCGAACCCACGUCUGUUGAAAAAGGCGGGGAUGAGCUGUGGUUAGCGGUGAAAUUCCAAUCGAACUCGGAUAUAGCUGGUUCUCAUCGAAAUAGCUUUAGGGCUAGCCUCAGGAUAGUUUAGCGGAGGUAAAGCACUGAAUGGGCUAGGGGGCUUCACGGCUUACCGAACCCUAUCAAACUCUGAAUGCCGCAUAAAUGUUUCCUGGGAGUCAGACUGCGUGAGAUAAGUUUCGUAGUCAAAAGGGAAAGAGCCCAGACCUACAGCUAAGGUCCCUAAAUGAAUUUAAGUGGAAAAGGAUGUGCAGUUGCGUAGACAACUAGGACGUUGGCUUAGAAGCAGCCACUCAUUUAAAGAGUGCGUAAUAGCUCACUAGUCGAGAGAUCCUGCGCCGAAAAUGUCCGGGGCUAAAACUUACCACCGAAGCUACGGGCUUGCGUAAGCAAGCGGUAGGGGAGCGUCGUAAUCGGGCUGAAGUCGUACCGUAAGGAGCGGUGGACUGAUUACGAGUGAGAAUGUUGGCAUUAGUAGCGAGAUGUAGGUGAGAAUCCUACAGGCCGAAUAUCUAAGGUUUCCUCAGGAAGGCUCGUCCGCUGAGGGUUAGUCGGGACCUAAGCCGAGGCCGAAAGGCGUAGGCGAUGGACAACAGGUUGAUAUUCCUGUACCACUACCAUCGUUAUUAUCGAGGGUGUGACGGAGAAGGAUAGUGUGUGCUAGCGAUUGGAAAUGCUAGUCUAAGCGUUUAGGCAGUUACGGUAGGCAAAUCCGCUGUAAUGUUAAUGCUGAGGCGUGAUGGGGAAGGCCCUUGAGGCUGAAGUACAUGAUUCCAUGCUUCCAAGAAAAGCAUCUAGAGAGAGAAGUAGUGCCCGUACCGCAAACCGACACAGGUAGAUGAGGAGAGAAUCCUAAGGCCGGCGGAAGAAUUGCAGUUAAGGAACUAGGCAAAUUGACCCCGUAAGUUAGCGAGAAGGGGUGCCUACGAGAGUAGGCCGCAGAGAAUAGGCCCAAGCAACUGUUUAGCAAAAACACAGGUCUCUGCUAAAGCGCAAGCUGAUGUAUAGGGGCUGACGCCUGCCCGGUGCUGGAAGGUUAAGGGGAACACUUAGCGCAAGCGAAGGUGUGAACUUAAGCCCCAGUAAACGGCGGCCGUAACUAUAACGGUCCUAAGGUAGCGAAAUUCCUUGUCAGGUAAGUUCUGACCCGCACGAAUGGCGUAAUGACUUGGGCACUGUCUCAACUGCAAAUCCGGCGAAGUUGUAGUGCGAGUGAAGAUGCUCGCUACCCGCGAUUGGACGGAAAGACCCCGUAGAGCUUUACUGUAGCUUAGCAUUGAAUUCCGGUAUUGUCUGUACAGGAUAGGUGGGAGACUGGGAAACUAGGGCGUCAGCCUUAGUGGAGUCAUCCUUGGGAUACCACCCUGACAGUACUGGGGUUCUAACAGGAUGCCAUGAAUCUGGUGACUGGACAUUGUUAGGUGGGCAGUUUGACUGGGGCGGUCGCCUCCUAAAAAGUAACGGAGGCGCCCAAAGGUUCCCUCAGAACGGUCGGAAAUCGUUCGUAGAGUGCAAAGGCAGAAGGGAGCCUGACUGCGAGACCUACAAGUCGAGCAGGGACGAAAGUCGGGCUUAGUGAUCCGGUGGUACCUCGUGGGAGGGCCAUCGCUCAACGGAUAAAAGCUACCUCGGGGAUAACAGGCUGAUCUCCCCCAAGAGUCCACAUCGACGGGGAGGUUUGGCACCUCGAUGUCGGCUCAUCGCAUCCUGGGGCUGAAUUCGGUCCCAAGGGUUUGGCUGUUCGCCAAUUAAAGCGGCACGCGAGCUGGGUUCAGAACGUCGUGAGACAGUUCGGUCCCUAUCCGUCGCGGGCGUAGGAAAUUUGAGAGGAUCUGCUCCUAGUACGAGAGGACCAGAGUGGACUUACCGCUGGUGUACCAGUUGUUCUGCCAAGAGCAUCGCUGGGUAGCUAUGUAGGGAAGGGAUAAACGCUGAAAGCAUCUAAGUGUGAAGCCCACCUCAAGAUGAGAUUUCCCAUGAUUUUAUAUCAGUAAGAGCCCUGAGAGAUGAUCAGGUUGAUAGGUUAGAAGUGGAAGUGUGGUGACACAUGUAGCGGACUAAUACUAAUAGCUCGAGGACUUAUCCAA
This 2904-nucleotide ribosomal RNA is filed under the name human gut metagenome. RNAcentral's name for it is "bacterial LSU rRNA". It matches the Rfam family "Bacterial large subunit ribosomal RNA". The record is from RNAcentral.